This 346-nucleotide ribosomal RNA is filed under the name uncultured bacterium. RNAcentral's name for it is "bacterial SSU rRNA". It matches the Rfam family "Bacterial small subunit ribosomal RNA", at positions 10 to 354 of the family's 1533-position model. The record is from RNAcentral.
AGUUUGAUCCUGGCUCAGAUUGAACGCUGGCGGCAGGCCUAACACAUGCAAGUCGAGCGGAAACGAUGGGAGCUUGCUCCCAGGCGUCGAGCGGCGGACGGGUGAGUAACACGUGGGAAUCUGCCCAUUAGUGGGGGAUAACUCGGGGAAACUCGAGCUAAUACCGCAUAAUCCCUACGGGGGAAAGCAGGGGAUCUUCGGACCUUGCGCUGAUGGAUGAGCCCGCGUCGGAUUAGCUUGUUGGUGGGGUAAUGGCCCACCAAGGCGACGAUCCGUAACUGGUCUGAGAGGAUGGCCAGUCACACCGGGACUGAGACACGGCCCGGACUCCUACGGGAGGCAGCAG